This 458-nucleotide ribosomal RNA is filed under the name uncultured bacterium. Its description in RNAcentral is "partial 16S ribosomal RNA". It matches the Rfam family "Bacterial small subunit ribosomal RNA", at positions 338 to 795 of the family's 1533-position model. The record is from RNAcentral.
CCUACGGGAGGCAGCAGUGAGGAAUAUUGGUCAAUGGGCGAUAGCCUGAACCAGCCAAGUCGCGUGAGGGAAUACUGCCCUAUGGGUUGUAAACCUCUUUUGUCGGGGAGCAAGGGCGGUACGUGUCCGGCUUUGAGAGUACCCGAAGAAAAAGCAUCGGCUAACUCCGUGCCAGCAGCCGCGGUAAUACGGAGGAUGCGAGCGUUAUCCGGAUUUAUUGGGUUUAAAGGGUGCGCAGGCGGCUUGUUAAGUCAGCGGUAAAAUCUUGGGGCUCAACCCCAGCGAGCCGUUGAAAUUGGCGAUCUAGAGUGUGAGAGAGGUAUGCGGAAUGCGUGGUGUAGCGGUGAAAUGCAUAGAUAUCACGCAGAACCCCGAUUGCGAAGGCAGCAUACCGGUGCACAACUGACGCUCAGGCACGAAAGCGUGGGUAUCGAACAGGAUUAGAUACCCGUGUAGUC